GACGUAGGGGGCAAGCGUUGUCCGGAAUUACUGGGCGUAAAGGGCGUGUAGGCGGCCUUGCAAGUCAGUGGUGAAACACCUGGGCUCAACCGAGGUAUUGCCAUUGAAACUGCUUGGCUUGAGGGUAGAAGAGGAGUGUGGAAUUCCCGGUGUAGCGGUGAAAUGCGUAGAGAUCGGGAGGAACACCAGUGGCGAAGGCGGCACUCUGGUCUAUCCCUGACGCUGAGGCGCGAAAGCUAGGGGAGCAAACAGG
Molecule: ribosomal RNA, 253 nt
Filed under: uncultured bacterium
Lineage: Bacteria
Description: partial 16S ribosomal RNA
Rfam family: Bacterial small subunit ribosomal RNA
Source: RNAcentral